RNAcentral lists this long non-coding RNA (3554 nucleotides) under Macaca fascicularis (crab-eating macaque). RNAcentral's name for it is "lncRNA (ENSMFAG00000061471.1)". Lineage: Eukaryota; Metazoa; Chordata; Mammalia; Primates; Cercopithecidae. The record is from RNAcentral.
GCAACAAAGCAAGACCCCGAUCUCUACAGAAAAAUCAGCCAUUCCUGGUGGCUCGCAGCUGUAGUCCCAGCUACUCUGGAGACUGAAGCAGGAGGAUUGCUUGAGCUACGAGUUCAGGGCUAUGGUGAGCUGUGAUGGCACCACUGCACUCCAACUUGGAUGACAAAGCAAGGCCCUGUAUCAGAAAAUAAAGAAAAAAGGAUAGAAAGAUAAUGCUAACAAAUGGAAUACGGAGCAUAUAAUGUCUUGCCUCUACAUGUAAUUAAAAAUAGAAGUAAAAUUUAUCUCAGAUUAAGAUUUUUUUUUUAAGCAGCCUCAACAUAUAUUCAGAUAAAACAGAUUUUAAUAAAAUUAUAUAUGUCAUCUGUUUCAAAAAUGUUAGGGCUAUUUUUAGUCUUUAUAAAGCAUAACUUACAGUUAUAGAUAGUUGUCUGUGGUUUUAGAAAGCUAUUCUAUUUGUUAUUCCCUCCGUAUCCCUUAACCCCAUGCCUCAAAUUAUUUCACAAUACUUUCCCAAUAAUUUACUAACUUGUUCUUUUGUAUUCCAAAAAUGUGAAAGGUGUUAAAAGUUUGUGUUUCAGUGCCUUUGGAAACAUUUAAAAAUGCAUCUUUUAAAUUGCAUGUCUAAACCAGUAUUUCUCAAAAUGUGCCAUGAUCUGUUUAUAGUUGUUGGGUUUAAAAAAAAGAAAAAAAUGCAGUUCCGUAACUUUGAGAAAUGUCAGGUUAAGCAAAGUUAAAGUUCUUUACUACAAGACUUCUCAGUGCCUUUAAUGUCCUCCUAUGUUAUCCUCUGGGUAUAUUCUCUUUUCUAACUCAAUCUACCCUUUUACUAGGAUUGGUGUUCCAAGGAAAAUACUGGAAAAUGGUGGUCUAAAUAUUGUUAAAAAUUGAACACACGUGUCUAAAACCAAAAGUGCCCAAUCCUUUACUAGAGUGUGAGCUUCUUGAGGACAAGAGUCUGUACUCAUUUUUUGUAAUCCCAUCUUGCAUAUAACCAAUAUAAUGCUCAAUAUGUAUUAUUGAAUAUGUUAAUAUAAAUCUAACUCUGGAGAGUCAGUUUGUAAUGCAAAGCUAAUAUGCUCCUGAUUUGAUAAAAUUAAUUAUUAUGAAAUAACGUGUAUAUUUUCACACAUAUUUGUUUUCUCUAUACUUGGAAGAAAUAGAAUAUUUUUAAAUGGACACUGUUUUACAGGUUCAUAUUUAAGAUGGUGAUCAGCUGUUUUUAUCUGUUGAAAAGUUGUAGACCUAACCUUAUAAAAGAUCUGUUCAUAGAUGAUGAAGCCUUUCAAAACUGUGAGGUAUAGAAGUCAGGGUAUUCUGAUUUAUUUCAUUUCACUUCAACAUUUACCCCUCUGGGACUCUGGAACUUUUUUCAUAGCCUUCUACUUCACUCUCAACUCCUACCUCCCAAAAGUGUAAUUUAUCUACUUAUGUUCCCACUGCUUUCAAGAGUUCAUAUAGUUUCCCAGAAUUUGCGGCAUCUUCCUCACUCUUUCCUGUUACUUCACGUUAUAGAGCUUCUCCAAAUGCUUUCCCAUAGGUUUCCUGCCUCAUCUGCCAGAGACGUCUUGGAGUUCUUCAGAAUUUACUGGAUGUGCUAAAGAGUAUUUAAGUACACGUUUACAAAAUGAAGGAACUCCACUGCUGUGCAAGUAGUAAUAGGUCUUCAGACCCAUGAAGCAAGGACAUUUGGGGAAGUCUCGGUUAUCAAGUAUGAUACCUGUUUAUGGGGAAUGUAGAGAAUUUUGCCAUCUUUCUUAUUAGUAGAAAGAGAAAUUUGCAGAUUCCUUGGAGAUUUAGGGGCGUUUAGGAUAAUCAAAAAGUUUUGUAUAUUGCACUUGGGGAUCUAAUCCAUACUGAAGGCCAUAAACUAUAAUAAAGUAUCAGGAACAAAUAGGAAACAAAAUACAUGAAGGAAUUAUUUGAGUUUAGAGGAAAAGAAAAAGAAAACCAGCAAGAAUACUGCUAUCUAAUCAUUAAAUCAGUUUAAGAUGGACACAUUGAGAAUGUCUGGUAAAACAUGUUUUCUUAAUUAGAUUAUCAUGCUUUUUAGAGGACCCUUAAUAGGUAGUAUGAAGCUCGUAUUUUGGCAAUUUGAGCACCCUUUUUGUAGAAUUUUAUGAGAAUUUUCUUUGUAAAAGAAAACUUUUAAGGACUAUUUGAUACAGAAGUGUUACUAAUGGAAAUUUCAAGACUUCCUGCCUUGACGGCCUUUUAAAUUAGAUGUUCAUGCAGUAGCUUAAAUGAGUAAGUCUUAUAAACAACUGGAGAGUUCUUUAAUAUCCUUUAGAACCAGAUGUUUAGUUGCUGUUAUUUUUUUUCUAUCUCCAUUCAAACUACCAUGGAUGUAACACUGUUAGCCAAGCAAUGUGCUAAGAUAAGAAGCUGUUUGAAGAAGGUACAGUGCCUUAAGUUUUGGAGUUCGUGAGUGGUGGGAAGGAGGAGUGGACAUAGGAGUAAUUCUACUAUCGUAUGAUCAAGGAGUAUGAUGUAGGUAUUGGCUCUGCCUGGAGGAGUCUGGAAGCUUUGUAAGAAUAGUCUAUCUUAAAGUAAGAAUGUUCAAUGUUACUAUUAAUGGGGAAUGUAGGGCUAAGAUAUUCAAAAGCCCAGAGGCACAAAAGUAUAAGGCAUGAUUUGGGAAUGGUGAAUGGCCCACUGAAUGAGCCCAUUUUGUGGGAGUGAGGGUGAAAAAGAAGCCAGAAAGCUGUGUUCAGGCCAAUCUGGGAUUUGGACAUUUUUUCCCUAAGGCUAUAUUAUUCUCAGUCAUUUUUCUUGUGCUACACAAAUGAUAGACAUACACAUGUGCAGGGAUAUGUGUAAUUCCUGAGCCCUAGGCUUUUCUGCAGUGAAUUCCAUCCCAUUCAAGCAUAUGAAAAUACAUGAAGGGGAAUUACACUAUUAUAGAUAAUUGCAGAUAGAUACAGAUUUGACUGUUUAAAUGUAUGUUUAACUUUUAGAAUUAUUACUUGUUCACAACUGGUGAAAACAGUUGUCUUGACAGAGGUUGAGAACAGGAGGUGACUUGUAAGGAAUGUAGUAAACCACUAUCAUGACAAAACAGGAAACUGGAAGCAAAGCGUUCAUUAACAGAAUGAGAAAACAGUAGAUGUGAGGAAUAUUGCAGAAGUACAAUGGAGAGAACUUGACCGAUUUCCAAGACUCAUAACAUAUUGUAUGUGUGGGUCAUUCUUCCUUACAACAGGACAUAUUCCAGUAGAUGUUUUGCCAUGGGGGGCCUCUUUGAAAUGACUCCUUAGGCCAUGCACAAUAUGCCUAUAAUUCCAGCACUUUGAGAGUCCACGGCGGGAGGAUCGCUGGAGACCAGUAGUUCAGACCAGCCUGGACAACACAGCGAGACCCCAUCUCCAAAAAAAAAUUAAAAAUUAUCUGGGCACUUGUGCACUUGUGGUCCUAACUACUUCAGAGGCCAAGGCAAGAGGGUCACUUGAGCUUGAGAGUUUGAGGCUGCAGUGAGCCAUGAUUGCACCACUGCACUCCAGCCAGGUGACAGAGUAAGACCCUGGCUUAAAAAAAAAAAGAAAAAAGAAAAAAAC